AGAGUGAACGCUGGCGGUAGGCCUAACACAUGCAAGUCGAACGGCAGCACAGUAGGAGCUUGCUCUUACGGGUGGCGAGUGGCGGACGGGUGAGGAAUACAUCGGAAUCUACCUUUUGGUGGGGGAUAACGUAGGGAAACUUACGCUAAUACCGCAUACGCCCUUCGGGGGAAAGCCGGGGACCAGCAAUGGCCUGGCGCUGAUAGGAUGAGCCGAUGUCGGAUUAGCUAGUUGGUGAGGUAAUGGCUCACCGAAGGCGACGAUCCGUAGCUGGUCUGAGAGGAUGAUCAGCCACACUGGAACUGAGACACGGUCCAGACUCUACGGGAGGCAGCAGUGGGAAUAGUGGACAAUGGGACGCGAAGCCUAGGAUCCGAAGCCGAUACCCGGCGUACGGUGAA
This 401-nucleotide ribosomal RNA is filed under the name uncultured soil bacterium. RNAcentral's name for it is "bacterial SSU rRNA". It matches the Rfam family "Bacterial small subunit ribosomal RNA", at positions 26 to 412 of the family's 1533-position model. The record is from RNAcentral.